This 340-nucleotide unclassified non-coding RNA is filed under the name soil metagenome. RNAcentral describes it as "partial contains 5.8S ribosomal RNA, internal transcribed spacer 2, and large subunit ribosomal RNA". The stretch from base 1 to 120 matches the Rfam family "5.8S ribosomal RNA", at positions 35 to 154 of the family's 154-position model. The record is from RNAcentral.
GAUGAAGAACGCAGUGAAAUGCGAUAAGUAAUGUGAAUUGCAGAAUUCAGUGAAUCAUCGAAUCUUUGAACGCACAUUGCGCCCGCUAGUAUUCUGGCGGGCAUGCCUGUCCGAGCGUCAUUUCAACCCUCAAGCACUGCUUGGCGUUGGCGGAUUGCGUGCCCUCGCGGCGCUGCAACCGCCCAAAUACAGUGGCGGUCCCGCUGCGGCUCCCUUUGCGUAGUAACUCACCUCGCACUGGACCGGGCGGCGGCCUGCCGUAAAACCCCAACUCACGAAAUGUUGACCUCGGAUCAGGUAGGAAUACCCGCUGAACUUAAGCAUAUCAAUAAGCGGAGGA